Molecule: long non-coding RNA, 1192 nt
Organism: Salvia hispanica
Lineage: Eukaryota; Viridiplantae; Streptophyta; Magnoliopsida; Lamiales; Lamiaceae
Source: RefSeq, a predicted model, not a curated record
UUCUUUUUCCCCCUUUCAUUACUUAGUAUAUUUGUUUGAAACUUGGACAGUAGCAAUGUUGGAAACGUUUUGAUUGUUGUGAUUUGAGGUUGUGAUCUUGGAUAUAUACUUUAGUUUACUGGAAAGAGAUUGAUCUUGAAAAGGUUAUAGUUUGCUACUGAAAAUUAGCAUGAGGGCAGCCUAUUGUGCUCUUGUUCCAUUUAUAAGUUAAAGUUCUUCAAAGGCUACUACUGCUAUGAGAUUUCUCUAGCAAAUUCUACAUCCUUGAGCUAGCAUGAUGUUCUAAACAAGGGCAGAGAGUGUGCUUGUGUUACUUUGAUUGUGCUUCCUAAGUUGUGGUGCCUCUAUAUGAUGAUAUGUAUAGCUAUUGGGGAAAGAAGAUGGAGGUGUAUUACCUCUGGAAAAAUCGAAGGAAUGGCUGUCUUUGCUGCCGUUCACCUUGUUCCACCCUCUACUCUCGGUUUGUGCUGAAAUUUUGAAGUGUUUGUGAAAGGGAGUUGAAUGUGGUGUGGAGGGAAAUUUAUAGGCAGAUUGGUGUACUUGUGAGCCUUAAAUGAGGCUGCUGAAACUCUUGUUUCUAUCCAGCAGCAUAUCUCUCUUUUCUUGAUCCAUUGCAGCAACUUUAACUGAAACUUGGUGGUAUACUAAGGGUAUAUUGCAGCAACAAUCCUUUUUGUUGGUUCUUCACCACUCCUUUUAUUUAAUUAAACUUGGUGUUUUGUCUAUGCAUAAGUACUCUUGCAUUAAUACACUUUGUUUGAUUUUUUUGCAGGUACAAGCGAGAGAAUGCAGGGGCUGUUGGGAGCAGAGGAGUUCAAACUGACUUUGCUUCCUUUGGUAAGUCUUUUGGUCUACUCUAACAAAGGAGAAAGAGACAACUUGGCUGCCACCCAACUGUCCCGAGAAGUAGGCUCGCUGCCCUGGCUCAACGGGCUGACCGGGUAGGGUCGCGGUGGUGUGCGACUUGGGCUCGAAAAAAAGAGGCCCAAAGUGUAGUAAAAGAGCCGACUUUAGUUUCUUAGCCUUUUAGCCCAUACUUGUAUAUUUUGUACUAGCAUUCAAAUUUCCUUUUUCUUAAACUCUUAACUCACAUGUACUUAAUUAUGUAAGCUAAAGUGUAGUUCGGCAAGUAGUUGAACUUUCUUAGUUAGGAAAAGAACUCUUCAUAUUCUUCUUCGUUAGUUAUGUAUCA